ACUGCUCAGUAACACGUGGAUAACCUGCCCUUGGGUCCGGCAUAACUCCGGGAAACUGGAGAUAAUUCCGGAUAACGCACAUAUGCUGGAAUGCUUUAUGCGUAAAAUGGAUUCGUCUGCCCAAGGAUGGGUCUGCGGCCUAUCAGGUAGUAGUGGGUGUAAUGUACCUACUAGCCAACAACGGGUACGGGUUGUGAGAGCAAGAGCCCGGAGAUGGAUUCUGAGACAUGAAUCCAGGCCCUACGGGGCGCAGCAGGCGCGAAAACUUUACAAUGCGGGAAACCGUGAUAAGGGGACACCGAGUGCCAGCAUCAUAUGCUGGCUGUCCAGGUGUGUAAAAUACACCUGUUAGCAAGGGCCGGGCAAGACCAGUGCCAGCCGCCGCGGUAACACCGGCGGCCCGAGUGGUGAUCGUGAUUAUUGGGUCUAAAGGGUCCGUAGCCGGUUUGGUCAGUCCUCCGGGAAAUCUGAUAGCUCAACUAUUAGGCUUUCGGGGGAUACUGCCAGGCUUGGAACCGGGAGAGGUAAGAGGUACUACAGGGGUAGGAGUGAAAUCUUGUAAUCCCUGUGGGACCACCUGUGGCGAAGGCGUCUUACCAGAACGGGUUCGACGGUGAGGGACGAAAGCUGGGGGCACGAACCGGAUUAGAUACCCGGGUAGUCCCAGCCGUAAACGAUGCUCGCUAGGUGUCAGGCAUGGCGCGACCGUGUCUGGUGCCGCAGGGAAGCCGUGAAACGAGCCACCUGGGAAGUACGGCCGCAAGGCUGAAACUUAAAGGAAUUGGCGGGGGAGCAC
RNAcentral lists this ribosomal RNA (796 nucleotides) under uncultured archaeon. RNAcentral's name for it is "bacterial SSU rRNA". It matches the Rfam family "Archaeal small subunit ribosomal RNA", at positions 85 to 879 of the family's 1478-position model. The record is from RNAcentral.